Molecule: unclassified non-coding RNA, 401 nt
Filed under: soil metagenome
Description: partial contains 5.8S ribosomal RNA, internal transcribed spacer 2, and large subunit ribosomal RNA
Rfam family: 5.8S ribosomal RNA (bases 1-121)
Source: RNAcentral
GAUGAAGAACGUAGCGAAAUGCGAUAAGUAAUGUGAAUUGCAGAAUUCAGUGAAUCAUCGAAUCUUUGAACGCACCUUGCGCCCUUUGGCCAUUCCGAAGGGCAUGCCUGUUUGAGUAUCAUGAACACCUCAACUCUCAUGGCUUGCCAUGAUGAGCUUGGACUUUGGGGGUCUUGCUGGCCUGUGGUCGGCUCCUCUCAAAUGAAUCAGCUUGCCAGUGUUUGGUGGCAUCACAAGUGUGAUAACUAUCUGCGCUCGUGGUUUCCAUCAGAUAACCUCCAGUGAUGGAGGUUCGCUGGAGCUCAUAAAUGUCUCUCCUAAGCGAGGACAGCUCUUUUAAUGUUUGAUCUCAAAUCAGGUAGGGCUACCCGCUGAACUUAAGCAUAUCAAUAAGCGGAGGA